ACGCACGCUGGCGGCGUGCCUAAUACAUGCAAGUAGAACGCACAGUUUAUACCGUAGCUUGCUACACCAUAGACUGUGAGUUGCGAACGGGUGAGUAACGCGUAGGUAACCUGCCUGGUAGCGGGGGAUAACUAUUGGAAACGAUAGCUAAUACCGCAUAAUAUUGAUUAUUGCAUGAUAAUUGAUUGAAAGAUGCUAUUGCAUCACUACCAGAUGGACCUGCGUUGUAUUAGCUAGUAGGUGAGGUAACGGCUCACCUAGGCGACGAUACAUAGCCGACCUGAGAGGGUGAUCGGCCACACUGGGACUGAGACACGGCCCAGACUCCUACGGGAGGCAGCAGUAGGGAAUCUUCGGCAAUGGACGAAAGUCUGACCGAGCAACGCCGCGUGAGUGAAGAAGGUUUUCGGAUCGUAAAGCUCUGUUGUAAGAGAAGAACGGGUGUGAGAGUGGAAAGUUCACACUGUGACGGUAUCUUACCAGAAAGGGACGGCUAACUACGUG
Molecule: ribosomal RNA, 504 nt
Filed under: uncultured bacterium
Lineage: Bacteria
Description: partial 16S ribosomal RNA
Rfam family: Bacterial small subunit ribosomal RNA
Source: RNAcentral